AUCCACGGCAGCCCAAGUGUGAAAGCAGCCCACAUAGUAAUAAGCUUCCAGACGCUGCUGUGGCUCCUGGUCUAUGGACCAACUGUACUUCAAACCAGAGAAAUUUCUUCCUUAACUGUACUGAGCUAUUGGCAAACAUGGCUCAAGAAAUUUAAAAUAAUUGAGUCUCAUUACAAAACACAGGAAACAAAAAUGUAGGCUUCCACUCAUCCUGAAAAUCAGGAAUGGAAGGAGGUAAAAACAUUCUGCUCUUGAAGUUUGGCUCUCCAACUUGACCCUCUUUGUGUGUGUGGGUGUAUAUGUGUAUUAUAUACAUAGGCAACUGAGGAAUUUCUAAGUCCACUGAUUGCUGAAUGGUUGUGGGUCAUUUCAGAAAAUCUGAGCCUAGACACAGGGGCAGGAAGGGUGGCAUGAAUACACAGAGUAAGAGCUUGUUUUUUAAACUUAGACAAGAGGUUGGCAAACUAUGGCCUCCAGGCCAAAUCUAUUGCCACCUGUGUUUGUGAAUAGAGCUUUGUUGAACACAGCUCCAUUCAUUUGCUUAUGUAUUGGCUGUGACUAUGUUUGCCCUACAAUGGCCUUGUAGUGUGUUAUAGAGACCCCAUGGCCAGAAAGCCCAAAAAUGUUUACUCUCUGGCUAUUUACAGAAAAAGUGGGCUGAUCCUUGCUUUAGACUACUGUGCAGAGUUUCUCAAGAAUUGAGAUCCUUCACAAAAGGAAUCUUAAUCAUCUUGUCUCAUUUUAAAGAUGAGGAAAUGGAUACCACAUUCUCCCAGCUAGCUUAAAUAUUUUUAAAAAGAUAUGACAAAACUGGAUGGAAUUUUUAAGAAAAAUCAUCAAUUAUUAGAUGUCCUUUGAAGAAAGCCAAACUGAUGACAGUUUGGAAAAUGAAAGGUGUGACAGUUAUAGCGAGAUUACUAGAAACUGAGCUCAACUGUUAUUCUCUAUUUCCACAUAGGGAAGGUUUUGCAAUUCUAAAUGGGUCAGAUGUUGGACUUAGGUUUCUAAGGGAGGUCAGGGCCUAGUGACCUUUAAAACAGGGUUGGGACAGCUGCUUCAAAUGACUUAGGUGUAGCUUGACAAGCUUUCAAGGCAUCACUCUAACUUGUCAUUCAUUUCCUCACCCCCAAAUAUCAGGAGGAAGGCAGGGACCCAUGGCAGGGUAGAGCAAUUUGGCAUGCUGUCCCUCGUGUGUCAAGACACACAAAGUAUUUCAUUCUCUAUACCCCUGGCCAGGCUGGAGAUCAUCUCGAGGCUAGUCAACUGCCAAACACUGGUUAGUCAUCUGGGUUGAAGGACCCCUUCAACUUUCUGAUUCUGAGAGCAGAGUGAUGGAGCUUUCAGCUUAGCCCCUUUAAAAAUAUUUUCAGUGGUAAUUGCAGGUGUAGAUUCACUACCUUUUUGAUUUGAGAACAGGAAAAAUGACAACAUUUCAAUUCUUCACGGUACAUGUCAUAGCCUAAUAUAGUUGUUGCUAAUUGAAGUCAGCUACACAAUUGUUGGGUAGAUUUUUUUUUUUAAAGGAAGUUCUUUCUUCGGGAUGCUCUAAGCUCUAGCAGACUCACCUCUCUCUAGGCUACAUAGAGAAUGCAUGGGUUAAUAUGAGCUCUGAAGAGGUAAGAGCUAUAUAUUAUUUAAUUCCUGUAUCUCAAGACCUAGAAGAGCUUUGCAACAUUUUGAGUGGGAUAAACAUGUAUGUCUUUUGCAGGGUUGGGGGCCUAGCAGAUAUGCAUUCCAUCUUCACAGUGAGCUACGUAGUAUGGACAGUGAAGUGGCAUAUGACAAGGAGAGGCUCUGAGAUACUGUGAUUCUGAGUCCAAGGCACUCCUGCUCUUCCAUCUGCAUGUCAAGGUCAUCCUAGUCUAGGUCCACUGACAGGUAGAUAUUGCUUAAUCAGGACGUAUCUGUCUGUUCACACUCAUGUCCUGAGAAUAACCCUGGAAUUUAUAUUGAGCCUUUCAUCUUUGAAUCAGUGCUCUCAUCUUUAUGACUCACUUGUGAGGUAUGAGACAGUUGUUUUAAUUACCUUUUUUCCCCAGGUAGAGGGAGAAAGUGAUGGAGAGAUAGGUUCGAGGACCUUCUCAGGAACUCUGAAGGAGUCAGGACCCAGGUGGGACUGGAGCUGGACAUUUUGUAACCCAAUAUUAAAGUGACAUUUAUUUUCUUUUUCCCAGGGCAACAUUGGGUAAAUGCAGCAUGUUUUUAUUUCCUUAGGACAGAGGUGCUUGCAGUGCUUCUCUUUUUUCCUAGCUUGUUUCAAAUAUGUUUAGAUUCAGAAAGAUGUGAAUCAAAGAAAUUGCAAAGCCUAUAUUUUCUAAAGUCUCUUCUAAAGUACUUCUAAGGCGUUUGGCCCAACUGCUGGAUUUAAUUUGAAGCUUAGAAGAUAAUCAUCAUCCUCACUCUUCCCCCUCAGCCUGGUUUUUCUUCCCAGCUGAUUUUUCCUUCAAGUAACUAUUAAAAUGUCUUUGUUACAACUUACAGGCUUAUGACGCCUGGUGAUUCCAAGCCAAAUCCAAGGCUUUAGGCAGAUUACCUUCCCUCUGAUCAUCACAGAGGCCUUAAAGAUGGACUCAGCAGUGAUGGUUGAAAACUCAAGACUUUAUAAUUACUUGGAGGACAAUGCAGAAUGGCAAUACAAUGGAAAAACUGGUCUCUAAACAACAAGACCUAUGGCGGUUGUACAGAGUGGGUGGAAUAAUCUAUAUUAGGUGAACGAAUAAUAGCAGCUUCCUGACCUGUCUCAUUAGCAUUUAUCAAGCUGUUAAUGGUCUCAGAACCCUUGGCAGUUAAUCCAUAAACCAUUCUUUGUCGUUAAAUAUUCUGAUCUGAGUUUUGCAGAAGAGACGUACCCAGGAGCUUUAUGACUGGACUCAAUGGACAAGACAGGAACCCACAGUUGACCUGGGUGGUCAGGAAAAGCCUGUUCCCUCAGGCAAGGGGCAUACAUUACUGCUGUUCCUCAGACUUUACUCUUUCAGACUACAAAUUAAAACAUAAUAAAAUUUAUUUUUACUUAUAUUUAAUGGAAACUAAAAGUGCAAUUAAUUUAAAUCAGAAUUAAUCCUUGCCUUUGGCCAGCCUUAUUUGGGAAGACCAAGCAGAAUGUCACUUACACUAGGUGACCAGGGGUAGAAGGUCUUUUCACCAUUCCCCUUUCACCUCACAGUUCUUAUGAUUCCUUUGACAUGUGAAUGCACUGGAUUGGGGUAGAAUCAGAAUCAAAAUGUAUCUUGUUGAAUUGCACAGAGUGGCAGUAAGACCUUGAAAAUAUAGGACACAACUUGCCAGAGCCAGAAAAUCUUGUCUAAUAGGGGUGGUUUCCUUCUUGUUGGCCAUUGUGCCAUGUUGUAGCUGUGAACUGUGGUAAAUGUUAUUUGAAGAUGAAGUCAAGUAUUUUCACCCUUGGCUCUUUCCC
Molecule: long non-coding RNA, 3415 nt
Filed under: Sus scrofa (pig)
Lineage: Eukaryota; Metazoa; Chordata; Mammalia; Artiodactyla; Suidae
Description: lncRNA (ENSSSCG00000060966.1)
Source: RNAcentral